AUUGAACGCUGGCGGAAUGCUUUACACAUGCAAGUCGAGCGGCAGCGCGGGGGCAACCCUGGCGGCGAGCGGCGAACGGGUGAGUAACAUAUCGGAACGUACCCAGUCGUGGGGGAUAACUAUCCGAAAGGAUAGCUAAUACCGCAUACGACCUGAGGGUGAAAGCGGGGGACCGUAAGGCCUCGCGCGAUUGGAGCGGCCGAUAUCGGAUUAGCUAGUUGGUGAGGUAAAGGCUCACCAAGGCGACGAUCCGUAGCUGGUCUGAGAGGACGACCAGCCACACUGGAACUGAGACACGGUCCAGACUCCUACGGGAGGCAGCAGU
This 325-nucleotide ribosomal RNA is filed under the name uncultured bacterium. Its description in RNAcentral is "bacterial SSU rRNA". It matches the Rfam family "Bacterial small subunit ribosomal RNA", at positions 29 to 355 of the family's 1533-position model. The record is from RNAcentral.